ACGCCAGAGCGACGCGCGACCAAGCGUGAGGCUGAAUGAGAAGGGAAAGAGAGACAUCCAGCCGUUGCCAAGAGACGGACUGUUCUGACGCGCGCCCAGAUGGGCCCGUCUCCCUGGUGAUCGGGAAGGUGGGGUGACGUUCGCGCGGAGAGGAAGGAGGGGUGAAACAACCAUCCCCCUCCGCUUGAUCCACCACGUGAUCGUCUGUUAUCAUUGCGAGGGUCGCCCCUGCGGGAGCGCAGCACCUAGGAUUAACCCUCCGCGUGCGGGACCUCCGCGGCCAGGUCCUGCCUGCUCUUUCCUGUUCCAUUGAUGCCCUCUGGCAGUGAAUCUGAUACCAAGACUUCUGAAGUCUUAGGACAAAUCAAUUAAUUUCAAUUAUCUUCAAUCAAAUUUUAGUCUCAAAAGUCUAGAAUUAUGUUCAAGAAGGUGAAAUGUGCUAUAAAUUUGGGGAACUAUCCAAGUAUUUGCUCAGUAGGCACUAUGAAUAUCAUGACAUUAUAAACCAAAGGAGUGAAGAUUUGAGUAAUGUUGACCAACUGCUGUCCUUAUUUGAUCUAUCUGACUAUUGCAAUGCUUAAUCUUGUAAUAAUUAUAAUGGCCAUUAAUUAUACACACAAACAAAUAACAUAGCAAAGUAAUCACAUACUUUAGAAGUGGUUAACCAACAUAUGCCCAAUACCUAUUAAUUUUGUGUAUACCAGUUGCACUUUUUUCAUUAUAUACAGCAUGUUUGAAAUUCUAAUUUCCCUUUACUUUCUCCAAGCAUUAUGAAUUAAUACUGUGAACUUCUUGUGAACUUGUAAACUUUAUUUCUUAUCAUAUAUGAUCUUGUGACAAAGAAAGGCAAGUUAGAAAAAUAAAUAAAUAAAUAAAUAACCUGAGUGUCUGAAAAACAGUAGGCUAUAAGGCAGAAGAAAACAAAUAAUUAUUGCAUUAUUUCAUCAUUUCAAUUUAUUUUCAUUAACUGAAUAAACAUCACUCACAUGCAAUAUAUUUUAGAAUAUACUCCUUCCUUUAACAACAGGACCUACAUUUACCACUCUGAAAUGGAAAGUAUAUCUGAGGAUACAUGGGGAAAAGAAACUUGUGUAUAUUUCAGAAACAAGACUCAUGUCAAACAGUUUCUCAGUCAUCAAGCAACUGUCCUGCUCCUUUGAAUGAGUUGCAGGCAGGGACAUCUGCAGGGAGGUAAAAAAAGACAAGAUGGCAGCUGAAACCACAUGAUCAAGCCCCCUCCCCCCAAAACACACAAAAUAUAUUUUAAAAGGUCAGGGCUUUGAUCACCCAGUUGUGGCCAACAUCUUGACUUUUUUGCCUCCCUCCCCCCAAUCACCCCUGGCCACAGGCAACUGAAAAGUAUAGUUGAAAGUCCAUAUACGAAAUUAAUAGAAUCAGGUCUCAGUGUCACACUGCAAUCAGCUCAAGCUGAGCUACGUAAGUCCAUAGCUGUGGAUAAGGGGAUGUCACUGUCCAUGACUGAGAUUGUCACUGAGCAGAGAUAGGAAAUCUUUUUUGUCACUGGGCCAGGAUUGGUGAUGUACUGAUGCCACCAGAAUGGAAGGGGCCAUUAUGUAUUUGGCCAUUUUUCAUUUUCAGUUAUUUGGCAUUGGGUCUGACCUGAAGUAGGUAUGUAAUACCUCAUAGAUUUAACACACCUUGUUAAAUCUUAGAAUGAAUGAAUGAAUGAAUGAAUGAAUGAAUGAUGGAAAAUAUAAAGCAGCUGUUGUGGUGUUUUGGUAGCAAAGUCCUGGAGGGGAGGAUUCUGAGGGCCACAGCAAUGGGAUAAAGCCUUUUUAUAGGUUCUGAAAUAUGAGUUGCCCACUUUGGCCAUUCAGAGAUACCUGCAAUUCUAGGAUCCUUAAGAGAUGCAGUGCUUGAUGUGAAUUAAUUCAGUUUUUCAUGGACUUUUUUUUCAUUUUUUCAUGAAAAACAGGGUGAAGGCUAGCAUUAGUUAUAUAUCUGAAAUGUAGAAUGAAGAAUUGGAAUAUCCAAUCUUGGAAAAUCAGUAUGUCCACAACUUAAGGAAUGAAAGAUAUACUCUCAUUUAAGGAUAAAGUUAAUUCAUCAGAAAAUAUUGUUACAUGUUUAUUGAAUCCUCAAACAAUGUUUAGAAAAGUUUGGACAUCAGAUUUUUGGUGUUGGCGUUGUACGGAAUUUGAGGGUCCUUUAACUCAUAUGAUUUGGUCCUGUCCAGUUGUAGCUCCAUUUUGGUUUCAAGUGAUAGGUUGUGUUUAAUACAAUUUUGGAAAGAAACAUAAAAGUUAAAGAUAUAAAUUUGAUGUUAAAUUAUACUCCCAAGAUAUGGAAUUCAUUUUGUUAAGGACUUUGGCUUUAUCUACCCUGGUAAAGAGGAUAAUCUUAUGUAAAUGGAACAAAGCUUACCUUCCUGAUGUUAAGGAAUAGAUUCAAGAUACGUAUUUGCUAUGUAUAUUUAGAAUGUAUUUAUACUCCAAAACUAAGAAUGUCUUCUCAUUUUUGGGGUAUAAAGACAGUCUAAAAAUAGAAUAAGCAAUAUGUUCCUAUGUGGUCUAAAUUUAAUGAUAAAUUUAAAGAUAGAAUUAAUCCCAUGUUGAUACCAAAUUGUCACUGUAUGGAUCUUUUUAUUUAUAAUAGGGAUUUUUUAAAUGUUUAGCUUAUUUUAAUCAGGGUAUAUAGAAUUCUUUCUAUUGUAUAAUCACUAAUGUAUUUUGCUGGUGGCAUAUCUCACCAAUAAAAAUUUUUUUUAAAACA
Molecule: long non-coding RNA, 2733 nt
Organism: Candoia aspera
Lineage: Eukaryota; Metazoa; Chordata; Lepidosauria; Squamata; Candoiidae
Exons: 2
Source: RefSeq, a predicted model, not a curated record